GACGAACGCUGGCGGCGUGCUUAACACAUGCAAGUCGAGCGGUAAGGCCCUUUCGGGGGUACACGAGCGGCGAACGGGUGAGUAACACGUGGGUGACCUGCCCUCAGCUCUGGGAUAAGCCUGGGAAACCGGGUCUAAUACUGGAUAUGACUCCAUGACGCAUGUUGUGGGGUGGAAAGCCUUGUGCGGCUGAGGAUGGGCCCGCGGCCUAUCAGCUUGUUGGUGGGGUGANGGCCUACCAAGGCGACGACGGGUAGCCGGCCUGAGAGGGCGACCGGCCACACUGGGACUGAGACACGGCCCAGACUCCUACGGGAGGCAGCAGUGGGGAAUCUUGCGCAAUGGGCGAAAGCCUGACGCAGCGACGCCGCGUGAGGGAUGACGC
Molecule: ribosomal RNA, 385 nt
Filed under: uncultured bacterium
Lineage: Bacteria
Description: bacterial SSU rRNA
Rfam family: Bacterial small subunit ribosomal RNA
Source: RNAcentral